RNAcentral lists this transfer-messenger RNA (354 nucleotides) under Chloroflexota bacterium. It matches the Rfam family "transfer-messenger RNA". Rfam says of the family: Bacterial tmRNA, also known as 10Sa RNA or SsrA, is named for its dual tRNA and mRNA-like properties. Its role is to liberate the mRNA from a stalled ribosome. Lineage: Bacteria; Bacillati; Chloroflexota. The record is from RNAcentral.
GGGGAUGUUAGGUUUCGACAGGGGUAUGUAUCAGGGCAUCGCGGGUCGAGGACGCCAUCACCCUCGUAAAUCCGGUGGCAACGCCUUAACUGGCAACCAACAACUCGCUUACGCCGCUUAAUUAAGCCGCGUACAUCCGACCGACCCCGUCCCGACGGGUCGGGUUCCGGGUGUCAUUUAGCCGGGAUGCCGCGCGCCUGACCCCUAUGGGGCGCGCCUAAGACUAUAGGACAGGGGUCAGCGGACUUCGCCGGUAGAGGACGCGGACCCGACAUUAAAGUGCCGGAUAUACCUGUAGACGUGUCUUGUUUUGUGCUCUUGGACGGGGCGUUCGAUUCGCCCCCAUCUCCACCA